GAAUUCAACUCCUACGGGAGGCAGCAGUGGGGAAUUUUGGACAAUGGGGGAAACCCUGAUCCAGCCAUGCCGCGUGAGUGAAGAAGGCCUUCGGGUUGUAAAGCUCUUUCAGCCGGAACGAAAAGGUUACGGUUAAUACCCGUGACUAAUGACGGUACCGGAAGAAGAAGCACCGGCUAACUACGUGCCAGCAGCCGCGGUAAUACGUAGGGUGCGAGCGUUAAUCGGAAUUACUGGGCGUAAAGCGUGCGCAGGCGGUUUUGUAAGUCAGAUGUGAAAUCCCCGGGCUCAACCUGGGAACUGCGUUUGAAACUACAAGGCUAGAGUGUGGCAGAGGGGGGUGGAAUUCCACGUGUAGCAGUGAAAUGCGUAGAGAUGUGGAGGAACACCGAUGGCGAAGGCAGCCCCCUGGGUUAACACUGACGCUCAGGCACGAAAGCGUGGGGAGCAAACAGGAUUAGAUACCCUAGUAGUCCAGGCGUU
This 483-nucleotide ribosomal RNA is filed under the name uncultured bacterium. RNAcentral describes it as "bacterial SSU rRNA". It matches the Rfam family "Bacterial small subunit ribosomal RNA", at positions 328 to 803 of the family's 1533-position model. The record is from RNAcentral.